AGCAGAGUGGCGCAGGGGAAGCGUGCUGGGCCCGUGACCCAAAGGUUCAUGGAUCGAAAUCACGCGCUGCUA
Trichonephila clavipes is the source of this 72-nucleotide non-coding RNA. NCBI's taxonomy places the organism in Eukaryota, Metazoa, Arthropoda, Arachnida, Araneae, Nephilidae. The record is from the annotation of a GenBank genome assembly.